This 45-nucleotide non-coding RNA is filed under the name Schistosoma haematobium. The record is from RNAcentral. Lineage: Eukaryota; Metazoa; Platyhelminthes; Trematoda; Strigeidida; Schistosomatidae.
GUCCAGCUGAUGAGUCCCGAACAGGACGAAACGCACGUCCUAGAU